UUAUAAAUAUGUUCUUACAAAAUUUAAUUUUAUAUGUUAUUUUUAUAAAAGUUUAAAUAUUUUCAAAUAUAUUCGUAACGCUAAAAAAUUUUAGUUAACCACCUAUAGUUAACUAAAAUUUUCUAACAGCAGCAGGGACAGAUAUAUUUGAAAAAUAUUAAGACUUUUGUAAGAAUAAUAUAUGAAAAUUAAAUUUUAUACAAAUAUAUAUAUAAUUUAUUAUGUUUAUAGGGAUCUGUAUGAAAUUAACCCUAUUUUUUAAAUUAAUGAAAGUGGGUGAGGACGGGGAAUGGGGAGGUGAGGGGU
RNAcentral lists this long non-coding RNA (306 nucleotides) under Ananas comosus (pineapple). RNAcentral describes it as "long non-coding RNA (ACOM_LNC000257)". The record is from RNAcentral. Lineage: Eukaryota; Viridiplantae; Streptophyta; Magnoliopsida; Poales; Bromeliaceae.